GAGACACGGCCCAGACUCCUACGGGAGGCAGCAGUGGGGAAUUUUGGACAAUGGGCGAAAGCCUGAUCCAGCCAUGCCGCGUGCAGGAUGAAGGCCUUCGGGUUGUAAACUGCUUUUGUACGGAACGAAAAGCCUCUUUCUAAUAAAGAGGGGUCAUGACGGUACCGUAAGAAUAAGCACCGGCUAACUACGUGCCAGCAGCCGCGGUAAUACGUAGGGUGCAAGCGUUAAUCGGAAUUACUGGGCGUAAAGCGUGCGCAGGCGGUUUUGUAAGACAGAGGUGAAAUCCCCGGGCUCAACCUGGGAACUGCCUUUGUGACUGCAAGGCUGGAGUGCGGCAGAGGGGGAUGGAAUUCCGCGUGUAGCAGUGAAAUGCGUAGAUAUGCGGAGGAACACCGAUGGCGAAGGCAAUCCCCUGGGCCUGCACUGACGCUCAUGCACGAAAGCGUGGGGAGCAAACAGGAUUAGAUACCCU
This 475-nucleotide ribosomal RNA is filed under the name uncultured bacterium. Its description in RNAcentral is "bacterial SSU rRNA". It matches the Rfam family "Bacterial small subunit ribosomal RNA", at positions 321 to 788 of the family's 1533-position model. The record is from RNAcentral.